This 137-nucleotide non-coding RNA is filed under the name Megasphaera cerevisiae. RNAcentral's name for it is "FMN sequence". It matches the Rfam family "FMN riboswitch aptamer (RFN element)". From Rfam's summary of the family: The RFN element is a highly conserved domain that is found frequently in the 5'-untranslated regions of prokaryotic mRNAs that encode for flavin mononucleotide (FMN) biosynthesis and transport proteins. This element is a metabolite-dependent riboswitch that directly binds FMN in the absence of proteins. In Bacillus subtilis, the riboswitch most likely controls gene expression by causing premature transcription termination within the 5' untranslated region of the ribDEAHT operon and precluding access to the ribosome-binding site of ypaA mRNA. The record is from RNAcentral. RNAcentral also lists the same sequence under 1 other name. Lineage: Bacteria; Bacillati; Bacillota; Negativicutes; Veillonellales; Veillonellaceae.
UUCAGUCUUUAAGGUAUGGUGAGAAAGGAGUUUCCUUUCAUAUUCCUGACCGGCGGUUAUAGUCCGCAACCUCUUACGGGAGUUGAUUCGAUGAAAUCUCGAAACCGACAGUAUAGUCUGGAUGGGAAAAGACAGCA